GCCCUGGUAGCUUAGUCAGUUAUAGCGCGUCCUUGGUAAGGACGAGGUCGCAGAUGCAAAUUCUGCCCAGGGCU
Molecule: transfer RNA, 74 nt
Filed under: Candidatus Woesearchaeota archaeon
Lineage: Archaea; Nanobdellati; Candidatus Woesearchaeota
Description: tRNA-Thr
Source: RNAcentral